UACGGAGGGUGCGAGCGUUGUUCGGAAUCAUUGGGCGUAAAGCGCGUGUAGGCGGCCUUUUAAGUCUGGUGUGAAAUCCCGGGGCUCAACCCCGGAAGUGCAUCGGAUACUGGGAGGCUGGAGUACCGGAGAGGAGGGUGGAAUUCCUGGUGUAGCGGUGAAAUGCGUAGAUAUCAGGAGGAACACCGGUGGCGAAGGCGACCCUCUGGACGGAUACUGACGCUGAGACGCGAAAGCGUGGGGAGCAAAC
Molecule: ribosomal RNA, 250 nt
Filed under: uncultured bacterium
Lineage: Bacteria
Description: partial 16S ribosomal RNA
Rfam family: Bacterial small subunit ribosomal RNA
Source: RNAcentral